This 69-nucleotide transfer RNA is filed under the name Ictidomys tridecemlineatus (thirteen-lined ground squirrel). RNAcentral describes it as "Spermophilus tridecemlineatus (thirteen-lined ground squirrel) tRNA". It matches the Rfam family "tRNA". From Rfam's summary of the family: Transfer RNA (tRNA) molecules are approximately 80 nucleotides in length. Their secondary structure includes four short double-helical elements and three loops (D, anti-codon, and T loops). The record is from Rfam by way of RNAcentral. RNAcentral also lists the same sequence under 1 other name. Lineage: Eukaryota; Metazoa; Chordata; Mammalia; Rodentia; Sciuridae.
GGGGUUGUAGCUCAGUGGUAGAGUGCUUGUCUUACAUAUGUGGUACACUGGGUUCGAUUCUCAGCACCA